AAAAAGAGGAAAUUGAGAAGGCUCUGGAGGAUUAGGGUAAAAUGAUCAAGUGACUUGUCUUGCAUCUGUUACAGUGCAAAUUUCAGAUCCCUUAUUCAAGAAUUUCCUGACCAUAUGAAAAAAUUCAAGCUAAUUACAAAAAUGUGUAUAUCUUCAUCUUAUUUACCAGCAUUACUGCAGCUCACUACCUCUCCAAUGUAGCUUGAACUUCCGCAUAGAGAAAAUCAUAAAUCCUAUUCUUGAUUUCCUAGUAUAACAUCUACCUUACUGAUUAUAUACGUGAUACAUUGAUAUUUCUUUCAAUUAUAGAUUAAAGGCCAUUAUUUAGGAGGCUGACAGGAUUUUUGUUUAAAUUUUCUGAAUUGAACAAAAUAAAAAUGUUUAAGCAGCUUAGACUAAGAGAUAUGGAAGCCAGUUGUUUGAUCAAAAUCCAGAUUUUGAACAUAUUAUAGAAAUUAUAGAAUGAUAGGUAAACAUCAUGGAAUGGCAACCUGAAUAUUUUGGCAGCAAUACUGUCAGACAUUUAUUUAUCCAUAAAAAUAUACACAUGCACAUAUAUAAUGUUACUUACAUGGGAUAACAUCAUCUAUGUUGUUUUUAUGCCUCAUGCCAUAACUGUCUAUUAUAUAUCCUCCGUUCUAUAUAUUUUUCUUUAAUAUUAUGCCAUAUAUAGAUGUAACCAUAUAUAUGUAUACAUACAUAUGUGCACAUUUUUGGUUUCUAAAUAUGAGUCAGACAGGGAAUAACAUAAGCAUGUUUUAUGCAUUUUUUUACUCAUG
Molecule: long non-coding RNA, 779 nt
Filed under: Homo sapiens (human)
Lineage: Eukaryota; Metazoa; Chordata; Mammalia; Primates; Hominidae
Description: HSALNT0210041
Source: RNAcentral